RNAcentral lists this unclassified non-coding RNA (160 nucleotides) under soil metagenome. RNAcentral's name for it is "partial internal transcribed spacer 1". The record is from RNAcentral.
CAAGAAUCGAGGCUGACGGUGUCUACUCCCUAGGCUCCGUCCAGUCCCGCUCUCUACCUUGCCCACUGCACCGUUUGUUGCUUCCUGGCGGCGUCCCGUCGCCAGGGCCUUUUGAAAGCCAAGUAUAAGCAUUGAAACUUCUGACAUACACUAAAUCGUA